GGAGCGGUAGUUCAGCUGGUUAGAAUACCUGCCUGUCACGCAGGGGGGCGCGGGUUCGAGUCCCGUCCGUUCCGCCA
Molecule: transfer RNA, 77 nt
Filed under: Aggregatibacter actinomycetemcomitans
Lineage: Bacteria; Pseudomonadati; Pseudomonadota; Gammaproteobacteria; Pasteurellales; Pasteurellaceae
Also listed under: 6 other names
Description: tRNA-Asp
Rfam family: tRNA
About the family: Transfer RNA (tRNA) molecules are approximately 80 nucleotides in length. Their secondary structure includes four short double-helical elements and three loops (D, anti-codon, and T loops).
Source: RNAcentral